This is a long non-coding RNA of Labeo rohita (rohu), 1947 nucleotides long. RefSeq lists it as uncharacterized. The transcript is spliced from 3 exons. Lineage: Eukaryota; Metazoa; Chordata; Actinopteri; Cypriniformes; Cyprinidae. The record is from RefSeq and is a predicted model, not a curated record.
ACUGAAAUGUGACACCAUUUAUGUGAUUUCCAGAGUCUCAGGAACACAACGCCUCUCUGCAGCAGGCUUAGUUGGCUGGGAGCAACCGUCUGGAUGCAGGAACUCUGGGUCCUUGCUCUCUCUGCUGCAUGUUUACAUCUCUUCUGCUAGUAAUACAAAAAGGACUGCAAAACGUCCAUGGACAUUCGUGCAAACUGACAACAAAAAACUUGGAAGGACUGUUUGUGCCAGCUGGAUUCACAGCUGCGAACACUUCCAGAACCCCCCCAUCUGAUCGGGCCACAAGAUUCACACCUGGAGCUAAUCAAAAGCUCCAUGUGAUGUUGACCCUGAUACAGAACAAAAAACACACUUCUGUGCAUGUGCCUCCGCCGAGACCGACUGAGACUCUAACGCACAAGCUGCACUCGAUAAGGGUGAUAAACCAAAAGCCACAGUACAGCGUGUGAAGAGAAAACAACUGAUGAGGAGAAAAACUGAACAAUGCAAAAAGAAUAAGCAUCAACACACAACUUCCAAUGCACUUCUUAUACACAGAGCAAGCGCUACAGCUACUGCAAUCACACCUAUAAAGAGAAUCGACUCUGCAUGCCAAGGUGGGAGCAAACACAACAGAGAUGGUUUGAAAUAUAGUGGAUUUGCUGGAGGAUCUGGAGAGCAGAGAACACCCGAGCAUAUUAAAGCCAUAAAUAUUUAAGGAGACGUCUGAGGUUUGAGCCAAAAGGAAGCCGCUCUCAGCUGAUAUCAGCACAUUUAGCUCAUGUCGUUUUAUUUAGGGCUUCUUUCUUGACAUGUUUCUCUGUUUAAAUGGCUUGCAUAUGUGUAAGCAUUUGCCUAUUGUGCUGCUCAAAAUCUGGAGUGUCAGGAUUUAUCUCUUCGUGCAUUGAGGAUGAGGUGUUUUACCAAAGAGCUGUGUUUUCUGUGUUCCUGGAGCCGAUUUUUAUAGGUAUGACGCUUGUUUUGGUGGAGCUGGACCUCGUGAUGUUGACUUCUUUUAAGUACUUCUCCUCAAUCAUAGCCGAGCUCCACUUGCCCCAUCAUUUUAAUGCACGACAGCUUCCUUAGCUUAGUUUUACUAUGACUUCAAGCACUUUCUCUUGUGCCCAUUAGUAGAAAUAUCAGCAUUAUGAGGCCAAAUGCUGUAGCCACAGCCUGAAACAUGCAGUAUUUCUAUACGGGCACAGCUUGGUUCCUCGGUUCUUUCAAAAAUCAUACUUUGUAUUUGAAAGGCUCAGUGGUGCUUCUGGCUCCAGUGGUCCAAAUGGUGCUGUUAUCUCCAUUUCCUCGCUGGGCAUAGCCAUUUUCUAAUACUGCAAUAUAAAUGUAUUACAAUCACCAACAUAGGGACCACUGAGGGCCUCCCUCAUAAAACAAUGAAGACUUGGCUCAUAAUAUUUUUCUCAUUCUUUUGCUGUUUUCCUAUGUUUUUAGCCAGAGCAGUUGAUGUCACAUUUCUGCCAAGACAAGCACAUUAAAGAAGCCAUGAAACAGUAGGAGCUCUUGCAUUGCUGGCUAAUCAUCAAAAAACAAAACCUAGGUCACUAUGACCCCUGUUUUGACCCCUGUUUUAAGUAACUUAAUCAGUGAUACCUGAGUCUUACUUUUGUGCACAACAGAUAUCAAGCAGGGCUAUUAAUCAAAUAGACAUUUCAAACAAAUUACAUAUGACUAUUUAGGGCUGGGCGAUAUGGCCAAAAAAUUAUCACAAUAUAUAUUUUUUCAUAUCAGUAUAUUCGAAAUAUAUAUAAAUAAUUAUCACGAUAAAUGUCAAACUUUUUCAAUUCUUUCAAGUUUAAAGGCAGAUUUUUGCUACAAUGUGAAAGUUGUAAAAACCUGGCUUUAAAAUAUUCUUUAUGGUAAGAACAUGACACUUUUUCAUGUCAUUUUUUUCUUAACAAAAUAAAUAUCUUAAUAGAAGAAAAUUGUUUAUUAGUUUCGCAUGUUUUA